AGCUCCAAUAGCGUAUAUUAAAGUUGUUGCAGUUAAAAAGCUCGUAGUUGAACUGCUGACAAGCAAUGUGUAUAGUAGUAACUAGCUUUGCUAGUCUCUAUACACUUGCUAUGUCAUAUUUGAGUAUUGCUAGUAUCACAUUGAUUUGUGGUGCUAGUUAGUGCUCAUCCUUUACUGUGAGAAAAUUAGAGUGUUCAAAGCAGGCAAUUGCCAAUGAAUAUAUUAGCAUGGAAUAAUAACAUAUGAUUUUGUCGUUCACAUUUUAUUGGUUUGUAAUGUUGCAAAAUAAUGAUUGACAGGGACAAUUGGGGGUAUUUGUAUUCCAGAGUCAGAGGUGAAAUUCUUGGAUUUUUGGAAGACAAGCUACUGCGAAAGCAUCUACCAAGGAUGUUUUCU
RNAcentral lists this ribosomal RNA (396 nucleotides) under uncultured eukaryote. Its description in RNAcentral is "SSU rRNA". It matches the Rfam family "Eukaryotic small subunit ribosomal RNA", at positions 587 to 972 of the family's 1831-position model. The record is from RNAcentral.